RNAcentral lists this small nuclear RNA (105 nucleotides) under Procavia capensis (Cape rock hyrax). Lineage: Eukaryota; Metazoa; Chordata; Mammalia; Hyracoidea; Procaviidae. The record is from RNAcentral.
GUGCUCAUUUCAGCAGCCCAUGUACUAAAAUUGAAAUGACAGAGAAGAUUAGCAUGGCCCCUGUGCAAGGAUGACACACAAAUUCGCAAAGCAUUCUAUAUUUUU